UGAUACCAUCAGUGCACCAUGAAUCACCCCUUAUUAUUGUGCUCAGAGCUUUCCUUUCUGAGCUGACAAGCAGGGCUAAGACCUGGGCUUAUCCCAGGCUACCAACAAACACUCUCUUAUGUUACACUCUCCUGCCAGCUCCAUACCCUCUGCUGGCCCUUGUGGGUUUGGGAAUCUGUGAGAUUUUUUGUUUGGCAGGAACUGAAAACUUGAGACUAUUGCUAAACUGGUCCAUGAGUGAGCACACUGCAGGGACACAGUACCCCAGGGAGCAGGCCUAGACACUGAUUUUAUCCAAAGCAGAAGAGCAGGGAUUGCUCUCCAGGUGCUUUCAUGCAGCUAACUCUCUUAUUCUCCUUUUAUUUUUUUAAGUAAAAAAUUAGCUGGUCCCUAUGGAAGUCCCAGUUUCAAAGAAUUCAGAGUAAUUUUACCAGUGUCUGAACUGGCUCUUUAUAAGAGCUGGUCAUGAAUUUGUUUGUGGAGCAUUUUUCCAUGGGAAAACACCGAUCAGGUAAAAGUUAAGUGCUCUGUGAAAAUGUUUUUAUUUUGGUGGAGUGCUGCUGGCAGUACAUGGGGCUUGUCAGGGCAUUUCCAGCUUCCAUCUGUCCUGGAGCUUCCAUCUUCCCUUGGAGCUGGCCUUCUGUUUCAGGGACACCUUGUGUCUGAAACCUGUUGGGGCAAGCUGCCUACAGAAACAGGCUGUGUGGCUGAGCUGGGACCCAAAAAGCUCCUCAAACUGCUAACAUUGCUUCUUUUUAGGGGCAACAAAGUUGUGCAACAGAGACCUGAGAUCAGUAUCUGCAGUGGAGCAGCUCUUGUUCUGCAAGAACCAAGUUUGGGCCAAGUUUUGGACUCCACCAGGAAGAGUUGUUGAGACACGCACUGAAUGCUGGAGCCAUGCCGUUCCUCCACAUUAUCUGUCUUCGUUUUGACUGCUAAUCCAUCACAGACACGGUGACUACUCUCAUGACCUCCCACACAGAAGACAAGCAAGCAGUACUCCCAUCUGUCAACUCUAGUCACAAGGUGGCAGGUCUCUGUGCUUGUGCAUCUGUAUGAGUCUAUACAUGUAUGGAAUAUGUGUGAGCAUCUGAUACUUUGGUAAGAGUCUGAAGUGUUUUACACUAUGUUUUAGGUGAUUUAUUGCACUUUAGCACAUUCAUAAAAUGCAUCGUGUUAAGCAUAUGCAUAAAAAUAAUAUAUAGGUUACCACAAAAUUUUUAUGACUUUAACCAGAUCCGUCUUGGAAUGUCGUCUUGAAUGUUUCACUCCUGCAGGUGAAAAAACAUAUUAUUUCAACUGAGUUUAGGGUAAGUUGUUUAGUCAAGACAACAAUAUUGUGGAGAGAGCCGUUACCUUGGUAGCACUUUGCCAAUUUAAGUACUAAUGAGAGGGGUUGAUUUCUGUCCUACAUCCAACAUAAGGUGUCUAUGACUACUGUGUCUCCAGUCUGCAUUCCUCAGCUGUCCCAUUCUCCUACUGUUUGCAGACAAUACAGAGUCAAGAAUUAUAUAAAUACCCUGCAUAGUUACAGUAUCCCUUGAAGGUAGGAGAGAUUUCUUGUAAGGAAUGUUCCAUUGGUGAGAGACUGGUAAAAGUCAGCAGACUACACAUGAGACAAGAGAAAGAUUGGAUGUCUGAUAAUAAAGUAGACUUCAGAAGGCA
Anser cygnoides (Swan goose) is the source of this 1665-nucleotide long non-coding RNA. The record is from Ensembl. Lineage: Eukaryota; Metazoa; Chordata; Aves; Anseriformes; Anatidae.